CAGUCGCCGCGGUAAUACGAAGGGGGCUAGCGUUGCUCGGAAUGACUGGGCGUAAAGGGCGCGUAGGCGGCGGCCAAAGUCAGGCGUGAAAUUCCCGGGCUCAACCUGGGGGCUGCGUUUGAUACUUGGUUGCUUGGGUGGGGAAGAGGGUCGUGGAAUUCCCAGUGUAGAGGUGAAAUUCGUAGAUAUUGGGAAGAACACCGGUGGCGAAGGCGGCGACCUGGUCCUUUACUGACGCUGAGGCGCGAAAGCGUGGGAGCAAACAGGAUUAGAGACCCCGGUAGUCCCUGUCUCUUAUACA
Molecule: ribosomal RNA, 301 nt
Filed under: uncultured bacterium
Lineage: Bacteria
Description: partial 16S ribosomal RNA
Rfam family: Bacterial small subunit ribosomal RNA
Source: RNAcentral